This 204-nucleotide unclassified non-coding RNA is filed under the name soil metagenome. RNAcentral describes it as "partial contains 5.8S ribosomal RNA, internal transcribed spacer 2, and large subunit ribosomal RNA". The record is from RNAcentral.
AACAAGGCGUACCUGCGGACCUGCGGAGGGAUCAUUACCGAGUUUACAGCUCCCAAACCCCUGUGAACAUACCACUUGUUGCCUCGGCGGAUCAGCCCGCUCCCGGUAAAACGGGACGGCCCGCCAGAGGACCCCUAAACUCUGUUUCUAUAUGUAACUUCUGAGUAAAACCAUAAAUAAAUCAAAACUUUUAACAACGGAUCU